GAGUUUGAUCGUGGCUCAGGACGAACGCUGGCGGCGUGCCUAAUACAUGCAAGUAGAACGCUGAAGAGAGGAGCUUGCUCUUCUUGGAUGAGUUGCGAACGGGUGAGUAACACGUGGGUAACCUGCCCAAAAGAGGGGGAUAACACUUGGAAACAGGUGCUAAUACCGCAUAACCAUGAUGACCGCAUGGUCAUUAUGUAAAAGAUGGUUUCGGCUAUCACUUUUGGAUGGACCCGCGGCGUAUUAACUUGUUGGUGGGGUAACGGCCUACCAAGGUGAUGAUACGUAGCCGAACUGAGAGGUUGAUCGGCCACAUUGGGACUGAGACACGGCCCAAACUCCUACGGGAGGCAGCAGUAGGGAAUCUUCCACAAUGGGCGCAAGCCUGAUGGAGCAACGCCGCGUGAGUGAAG
This 413-nucleotide ribosomal RNA is filed under the name uncultured bacterium. RNAcentral describes it as "bacterial SSU rRNA". It matches the Rfam family "Bacterial small subunit ribosomal RNA", at positions 9 to 410 of the family's 1533-position model. The record is from RNAcentral.